CUUCUUCAAUCGGCGUUGUAAUAUGUUGUGGCUCCAUAGAUUGCCUUUGUGGAUAAACGAAGAUUGUUUACGCAGUACUUUUGUGUAAUUAAACCCUUUAUCGUAGUUGAAAACAUAUAUAUUACAGGCAAUAAUUGUGUAAUGGAGGAGCUACUUAACGAGGUGGUGCCACAGGAAGACCUGGAGAGGUUCGAGAAAAAGUUUGCCCACGAAUUGGAAUUGGACGGUGAAGUAACAAUAGAAACUAAAUUCGAGUAUGCUUUUUGCUUAGUUCGUAGUAGAUAUACCAAUGACAUUCGAAAAGGAAUAAUGAUAUUGGAAGAAUUGGCUAGAGUUCAUCCAGAUGGACGCCGUGAUUAUAUAUAUUAUCUAGCUUUUGGUAAUGCCAGAAUUAAAAACUAUUCUGACGGGUUGAAAUAUUGUAGAGCCUUUUUAGAAAUUGAAUCUAACGAUCAAGUUCGUUCAUUGGAGGAAUAUAUUAAGAAACAAAGUGAUAAAGACAUGGCAAAAGGUAUGGCGGUGGCAGGAGGUGCUGCUCUUGUACUUGGUGGCAUUCUGGGACUUGGAAUAGCACUAGCAAAAAAGUAAUGACAUCAUUUAUAGCAAAUUUAAAUGAAAAGAGAUAAGUUUUCCGAUACUUUGUCCAUGUUUUCGUUUAUGCCACAAUUCAUCUAAAAUUCCAAAAUCAUCUCUUAAUUGAUAAAAUAAGCAAAAACGUAAUAACUGAUGGAAUUCUAAAGCCGCUCUGGAUAAAAAAAUAUCAGCUCUCUGGAUUCAUUAAAUUCACACAAAAUAAUUAUUGAUUGUAAAAAAGUGUUUGGCAAUUGAAAACUGCGGCUCCCAGUUUAAGGUAGUUUUGUUAUGUCGAUCUUCUUUGUACAAAUGUAAAAUAUAACUUGAAAAAAAAAUGAACAACAGACAAGAAUAA
RNA transcript from Musca domestica (house fly), 928 nucleotides. It is a transcript of the gene named mitochondrial fission 1 protein, with no coding region annotated. The transcript has 5 exons. Lineage: Eukaryota; Metazoa; Arthropoda; Insecta; Diptera; Muscidae. The record is from RefSeq and is a predicted model, not a curated record.